CGCUAAGAAGCUAAAUAGGACAUAGCGUUAGCCUUUUAAGCUAAAGACUGGUGAUUCCCGACCACCCCUAGCGA
Molecule: transfer RNA, 74 nt
Filed under: Pomoxis nigromaculatus (black crappie)
Lineage: Eukaryota; Metazoa; Chordata; Actinopteri; Centrarchiformes; Centrarchidae
Also listed under: 1 other name
Description: tRNA-Lys
Rfam family: tRNA
About the family: Transfer RNA (tRNA) molecules are approximately 80 nucleotides in length. Their secondary structure includes four short double-helical elements and three loops (D, anti-codon, and T loops).
Source: RNAcentral